Molecule: long non-coding RNA, 1720 nt
Organism: Hyla sarda
Lineage: Eukaryota; Metazoa; Chordata; Amphibia; Anura; Hylidae
Exons: 4
Source: RefSeq, a predicted model, not a curated record
CGGGAACAGUGGGCGCUUCCACUGAAAGAUUAGGGCGGAGCCGGUGCAUGGAGCGACCUCUGCUGGACUGGAGGUCCAUGACAAGGAGUAGAGCGCUAGAUAAUGGGGUGAAUACUGCGGUUGUGUUUCUGUCACAGCAGGUGCAGGUCAGAGUGUCGUGAGCCACAGCAAGUCACAUUUGGAAUGCUACAUAUAUCACAGUCAGCUGGAUGCAACGAGGACAGUGUCUCCCAUUGAAUAAAAAAGAACACCCAUUGACGCAGGACAGACUGCCUCUGAUCACCUGACUUGUGAUGUUAGGUCUUGACGCACUGCAACCUGACCACUCUCUGUAAACCCUUGAGAUGGUUGUGCGUGAAAAUACCAGUUGCUGCCAUGUGAUUGGCUGGUUACCUAUUUGUGUUAACAAGAAAAUAAACAGAUGUACAUAAUGAAGUGGCCUGUGAAUUAAUUCAGUGGUCCCUCAACUUACAAUGGCCUCAACAUACAAUAUUUGUAACAUACAAUGGUCUUUUCUGGACCAUUGUAACCUGAAACCAGACUCAACAUACAAUGUACAGACAGUCCAGAUCUGUGAAACGUGUCAGAAUGGGCAUUUUACUGGUUAAACACCUGUAUUCCUAAAUUGCAUGCUCUGACUGGCUGUCUGGUGGUGCCCCCUACAGUACAGGGAGGUACAACAUGUUCUGUACUACUCUUAACCUGUGCCAGGGAUAGCUGCUCCAGGUGAGGGCAGCUCAAUUUUACUUUUUUUUGGGACACAGUGUGUUCUGUACAGGACCCUGAAGAAGCUCCUGUCCUCUACAUAGACAGUGAUUUACAACUCCCAGCAGCUCUUUCUUACUUUUAUAUGUAAGAACUUGCUUUAUCUGUUUGAGUUAUCUACUUAUUUUUGCUUAAUCCUCACUUUUUCCUAUUUUUGGAUUACAUUUUGGUGGCUUCAGAAACAAUUACCAGGUUUCAUUUAGAUAGGGGUAAGAUAGUUUUCAAUGGUCAACCCCUUUAAACAGUUUGACAAAGGGAGGUAAUUCUGAGGGACACGCCCCCCCCCCCCCCCUAGUUGAUCAAGUGGGGGCUGAAACAUUCAUGUUGUUGAGGCCUAGGCGACUGACCUUUAAAUCACCUCAAAUCUCCAAGCAUUGCAAGUGCUGGGCUGAAUUGUUAUCUUAUUCUUAGUUUUAUGGCCUGUUUUUUUCUGAGUGGGCUAGAGACCUCUUGUUUCAGGCCCUGGCUCAAAAAGGUUAACCCCUUAAGGACCAAGCCCAUUUUCACCUUAAGGACCAGGCCAAUUUAAUGUUUUAGUUUUUCCCUCCUCGCCUUCUAAAAUCCAUAACUCUUUUAUAUUUCCAUCUACAGACACAUAUAAGGGCUUGUUUUUUGCGUGACCAAUUGUACUUUGUAAUGAAACCUCAUUUUACCAUAAAAUGUACAGCGAACCCAAAAAAAUAUUUUUUUAGGGAGGAAAUUUAAAUGAAAACCACACUUUUGCACAUUUUGGAGGGUUUCGUUUUCACACUGUACACUUUACGGUAAAAAUGACGUGUUCUUUAUUCUGUGGAUCAAUACGAUUAAAAUGAUACCUAUGGCUAGAUACUUUUAUAUUUUUGUACCGCUUAAAAAAAGUCAAAAUCUUUUUGUACAAAAUCAGUAAUCUAAAAUCGCCCUAUUUUGACCACCUAUAACUUUUUCAUUUUUCCGUAUAUAGGGCGGUAUGAGGGCU